UCAAACGAAUUGACGGGGGCCCGCACAAGCAGCGGAGCGUGUGUUUAAUUUCGAUGCUACACGAAGAACCUUACCUGGGUUUGACAUGCACGUGGUAGGGAACCGAAAGGGGACCGACCUUCGGGAGCGUGCACAGGUGCUGCAUGGCUGUCGUCAGCUCGUGCCGUGAGGUGUCGGGUUAAGUCCCGUAACGAGCGCAACCAUUGCCAUUAGUUACAACUCUCUAACGGGACUGCCCGGGACAACUGGGGCCAAGGUGGGGAUGACGUCAAGUCAGCAUGGCCUUUAUAUCCAGGGCUACACACACGCUACAAUGGCCGGUACAGUAGGUUGCGAAGUCGUGAGGCGGAGCCAAUCCUCAAAGCCGGUCUCAGUUCGAAUUGCAGUCUGCAACUCGACUGCAUGAAGCUGGAGUUGCUAGUAAUCGCAGGUCAGCUAUCCUGCCGUGNUACGUUCCCGGGCAUUGACACACCGCCCGUCACGUCAUGGAAGCUGGCAACGC
Molecule: ribosomal RNA, 502 nt
Filed under: uncultured organism
Description: bacterial SSU rRNA
Rfam family: Bacterial small subunit ribosomal RNA
Source: RNAcentral